This 71-nucleotide transfer RNA is filed under the name Rhodococcus (subgen. Prescottella) equi. Its description in RNAcentral is "Prescottella equi tRNA-Gln". It matches the Rfam family "tRNA". Rfam says of the family: Transfer RNA (tRNA) molecules are approximately 80 nucleotides in length. Their secondary structure includes four short double-helical elements and three loops (D, anti-codon, and T loops). The record is from RNAcentral. Lineage: Bacteria; Bacillati; Actinomycetota; Actinomycetes; Mycobacteriales; Nocardiaceae.
UCCCCGGUCGGUUAAUUGGCAGGCCGCGCGCUCUGGUCGCGGUAAUCGAGGUUCGAGUCCUCGCUGGGGAG